This 254-nucleotide ribosomal RNA is filed under the name uncultured bacterium. Its description in RNAcentral is "partial 16S ribosomal RNA". It matches the Rfam family "Bacterial small subunit ribosomal RNA", at positions 524 to 776 of the family's 1533-position model. The record is from RNAcentral.
UACGUAGGGUGCAAGCGUUGUCCGGAAUUAUUGGGCGUAAAGAGCUCGUAGGCGGUUUGUUGCGUCGGCUGUGAAAUCCCCGAGGCUCAACCUCGGGUCUGCAGUCGAUACGAGCAAACUAGAGUGUUGCAGGGGAGACUGGAAUUCCUGGUGUAGCGGUGAAAAUGCGCAGAUAUCAGGAGGAACACCGGUGGCGAAGGCGGGUCUCUGGGCAACACUGACGUGAGGAGCGAAAGCGUGGGGGAGCGAACAGG